Molecule: long non-coding RNA, 2446 nt
Organism: Mauremys reevesii (Reeves's turtle)
Lineage: Eukaryota; Metazoa; Chordata; Testudines; Geoemydidae
Exons: 6
Source: RefSeq, a predicted model, not a curated record
GAAGCGGACCUGCACAAUCUAGCUGUUUCGCUUUGCAGUGGAGCUGAGGAGCGCUCUUGUAAUGUUGGAGGAGCAGUCGUACUGAGAUUGGUCAGAUGAGAGAUCGGCCAACCUGUGGCAGAGACCAAAGAAGGAGCAGCCACCCGGAACCCAUCCCUAGGGAUGGAAGCCGGACAAUGAUCUGCAGAUACCACGGAGAAAGAAGUGAAGGGUAAGAGCCCACCCCCGUUGUGAGAUGGAAAGCACCAAGAGCCGGGAGACCACAAGUGUUGUCGAUGCCAGCCUAUGGCGAUGCCGUCGAUCUGGGAGUGGAGCAGCCGUCACCAUCAGUGAGAUAAGUGUCUGGUUUGGGGAGGAUUCCGGUAACGGCCCAUCUGCCUCCAGGCUGAGACUUGUCAUUAGCUGGGGCUCGGUUUGUAGGAAAAGAUUCCUGACCUGCUGUGGUUAUGAGGGAGACAAGGUCCCCAUUUUCAGGGGCUGGUCUUUUCUCUAUCCACAAACAGUGUGUCCUAUGCAGCAGAAGGUUGGAUCGAGGAGGAUGACUCCAGCUGUUGAGUUUCUUGACUCCAUCCCACAUUUUUCUCUCUCUCUCCUCUAAUGUGUUGGCCAACACACACUGUCUCUCUCUCUUUUUCUCUGUCCUUGCCUCUGCUUGUGCUGUCUCCCUUCGUAGGACACGGGCAGGUGUGUUAGUUGUGCAUCCCCACAGGCUAGGUCUUGUGAGCCAUGAACAAGUAGGGGACCGAAAAGAUGCAGGACAGUGGGCGCUAGAGUGGAGCGGUGACUGUGGGUGUUGACUGAGUCUCUGCUCUAGUGGGGCUGAUGUGGAUGGGAUGGGAGAGGGAGGCAGGGAUGAGGGCAAGAUUUCACGCAUCAAUUGUAUUUUGUGUAGCGAUGGCUCUUGCUUGGCUUAUUUGCUGCACUUGCAGAGAAAUCAUCGGGGAGCAGCAGCAGGAGGAGAAACUAGCAGACGCGGACCUGGGCAGCCUGGACAUCCUUCUAAGCACAGAUUAACAGUCCUCAGCUUUCUGCCUUCCACGUAACUGGCUGACCAAGAGAAAAGAAGUGGAGGGUCAGCGUCGGCUCACCUCACGUUACGGAAAGCGAGUGAGAGCGACGAGAUUGCAAGCAUUUUGGAUGCCAGGCAAGAGCCGUCCAGCUGGGAGCGGAGCAGCCGCCACUGUCAAUGAGAUAAGUAUCUGUUUUGGUGAUUGCUCUGCUCACUGCCCACCUGAAUCCAGAUACAAAUGCCCCAUUAGCUGGGACUGGGUUUGUAACAAAAUAUUCCUGACUAGGUGUGGUUCUGAAGGAGACAAGGUCCCCAUUUUCAGGGGCUGCUCAUUUUUGUUCACAAGCGCUGUGUCCUCUGCAGAAAAAGUUGGAUCCAGGAGGUUGAUUCCAGGUGGCGAGUUGCUUGCCUUCCUCCUGUGUCUUUUUUUUUUUGUCUCUCUUCUCCAGUACGUUGGCCAACACACCUCCUUUCUCUUUCUGUCCUUGCUUUUCCUUGUGCCGUCUCCCUUCGUACGACACGAGCACGUGUGCUCGGUGUGCAUCCCCACAGGGUAGGUCUCGGGGGGCCAUGAUGAAGUAGGAGGGGACGAAAAUUGUGCAAGGUAGCGGGCGCGGGAGUGGAGGGGUGACUGUCAGUGUUAACUUGGUCUCUGUUCAUCAAGUUUGGCAGAUGUAGAUGGGCUGGAAGAGGGAGGCAGGGAUGAGGGCAAGAUUUCAAGCAUCAGUAGAGAUGUGUGUAGUGAUGGCUCAUGCUUGGCUUUUGCAGAUCCAUUUCCAGAGGAAUUUCCCAGGAGCCGUAGCCAGAGGAGAGGUUGGCAGAUGUGGACAUGAGGAAACUGAACAUCCUUCUGAGCAGACACGAACAGUCCUCGGCUUUCUGCUUCCCACAUAACUGGCUUUUGCAGAGGAAUCAUCCAGGAGCCCUCACCGAACGAGAAUAUGCAGAAGUGGAUGUGAGCAGCCUGGACAUCCUUCUAAGGAGACCUCAACAGUCCUCAGGUUUCUGCCUUCUGCCUAACUGGCUGUGAGUAAGCAUAGCAAGAGAAAAGAAGUCACAGGCCAGAGUCUACUGCCCUCGUGCAAUGGAAAGAGCAAGAGCGAUGAGUCUGCAAGCGUUGUUGAUGCGACGCAGAAGGCGUCCAUCUGGGAGCGGAACCGCCACCACUCUCAAUGAGAUAAGUGUCUUCUUUGGUGAUCGCUCUGCUCAAGGCCCAUCUUGCUCCCGGUAGGGACGCCCCGUUAGCUGGGGCUGGGUUUGUAAGAAAAGGUUCCUGACUAGUUGUGGUUACAAGGGAGACGAUGUCCCCAUUUUCAGGGGCUGCUCAUGUCUCUGGCUAGGACCAGUGUGUCCUCCGCAGCAUAUUAGAUUCAGGGGGAUGACUCCAGCUGGUGAGUUUCUUGACUCCCUCCCACGUUUUUCUCUCUCUCUCCUCUA